AAUUAUCAACUGUGCCAAUUUGGUUACAGAUUGGAUGUGGGAGAUUUUUUGCAGGCUUUUGAUUUCUCUUUGAGAAAAACAAGGUCUGCUCUCCUGAAAUGUAUUAGCAGUGCCUUUGUUGGUUCAUUAGGUGUGAUAAUUUAUCUACAUCUUCAUAUGGUACCUUCAUUUGUAAAGGUCGUACUGCUUUCAAUUGUCUUUGGACAAAGAAAACAUAUAAUGUAUGACAA
Molecule: unclassified non-coding RNA, 230 nt
Filed under: uncultured Inocybe
Lineage: Eukaryota; Fungi; Basidiomycota; Agaricomycetes; Agaricales; Cortinariaceae
Description: sequence contains ITS2
Source: RNAcentral